AUGCCGUUUCGUCCGUGUCCUUCUGGAUGCGGUUGUUUCCUGUCUUCGGUUGACGGUCACGAGCGUUGUCUGCCGUGUCUGGGCGUCCAACACGCUGAGGCUGCGCUCGUGGAUGAUUCAUGCGUCUACUGUGGGCGUAUGAACAUGGCAGCGCUGCGAUCGCGUCUCUCACUCCUCAAGGGGAGUGCAGCAGACCCCUCUGUCGCCACCCGUCCCGGUCUCUCUGGCUCGAGCAGAGGGCCGCCGGCUGGCGCUCUGGGAGAUCUGAGGAUCACAGUGAGAGCUUCUCCGCCGGGCCACGCCCCACGGACCUCUCACUCCUCACGCAGCGACUGUCCCAUGCAGCUGCCGAUUGAUUCUGCUGGGCCGUCUCAUAGCGGUCCCAGCGUAUCUUUCGGUGCGCCGCCCGAAGACCAGAUGUCGAUUGCUGCAUCGGGGGAUGGGUUAUCGACCUCUGAGGAUGAAGGUUCGGCGGGGCUGCCCCCCUCGGGUGUUGUCGCUGCUGCCGAAUCGGACUUGGAGUUGUCGGCCAUGCUUGCCCGGGCAGCCGUGAGUAUCGGACUGGAGGUGACUACACCGCCCAGUCCCGAGCCCUCACGGCUGGAUGAUUGGUUUCUCGGCGCGGGACGCGGCUCACAACCUCGUUCUGCUCUGAUGCCUUUCUUCCCGGAGGUGCAUGAAGAGGUGACGAAGUCGUGGACGGCCCCUUUCACGGCCAGAAGCCGCUCUUCUCCCUCUUCCAUCCUCACCACCCUCGAUGGCGGGGCAGCCAGGGGGUACGUAGAGGUUCCCCAGGUGGAGAGGGCGGUUGCGGUGCACUUGUGCCCACAAAACGCCGCCACUUGGAGGAACCGACCCCCCAAGUUCAAUGGCGUGCUCGAGACUUCGGUGGCAGUCCUGGACGCCCCUGUCUUGCGCGAGGAGAUUGCUGUCCUCCUGGCGAAGGAUGCAAUCGAGCCGGUCCCUCCAGCCGAGAUGAGGACGGGGUUUUACAGCCCUUACUUCAUCGUGCCCAAGAAAAGCGGUGGCCUUCGACCUAUCCUGGAUCUGCGAGUCUUGAAUCGGGCCCUACACAAGCUCCCGUUCAGGAUGUUGACGCAGAAACGCAUUAUCAAAUGCGUCCAGCCCCAGGACUGGUUUGCAGCGAUCGACCUGAAAGACGCGUACUUUCAUGUCUCUAUCCUCCCUCGUCACAGACCGUUCCUGCGCUUUGCUUUCGAGGGUCAGACAUGGCAGUACAAGGUCCUCCCCUUCGGGCUCUCCCUGUCCCCCCGUGUCUUCACGAAGGUCGCGGAGGGCGCCCUUGCCCCACUCUGGGAAGUGGGCAUCAGGAUCCUCAACUAUCUCGACGACUGGCUCAUUAUGGCCCGGUCCCGAGAAGAGUUGUGCGAUCACAGGGACUUCGUGCUUCGGCACCUCAGUCAGUUGGGGCUUCAGGUCAACCGGGAGAAGAGCAAGCUCUCCCCUGUGCAGAGAAUCUCUUAUCUCGGUAUGGAGUUAGACUCGGUGAGUAUGACGGCACGUCUCACCAGCGAGCGUGCCCACUCAGUGCUGAACUGCCUGAGUUCCUUCAGAGGCAGGACAGUGGUACCGCUGAAACACUUUCAGAGGCUCCUGGGGCAUAUGGCAUCCGCAGCCGCAGUCACGCCGCUCGGGUUGCUUCAUAUGAGACCACUUCAGCACUGGUUACACUCCCGAGUCCCGAGAUGGGCAUGGCGCCGCGGUACACAUCGUGUCACCAUCACACUGAUGUGUCGCCGCCUAUUCAGUCCUUGGUCGGACCUUGCUUUUCUACGGGCCGGCGUGCCCUUAGAACAAGUGUCCCGGCACGUUGUUGUCACAACAGAUGCCUCCAACUCGGGCUGGGGCGCGACAUGCAACGGGCAGGCAGCUUCAGGGUCCUGGACAGGACCUCGACUGCUUUGGCACAUCAGCUGCCUGGAGUUGCUGGCAGUGCAUCUAGCUUUGCGAUGGUUUCGUCCGCUAGUGCUGGACAAGCACGUGUUGGUCCGCACGGACAACACUGCGGCUGUUUCGUACAUCAACCGACAAGGCGGUUUACGAUCACGUCGCAUGUCUCAACUCGCCCGUCAUCUCCUCCUCUGGAGUCAGACGUGGCUCAAGUCGCUGCGCGCUGUCCACAUCCCGGGGGAGCUCAAUCAUGCAUCCGACGCGCUCACGACAGCUCACUUUCCCCGGGGAAUGGCGACUCCAUCCCCAGACGGUCCAGCUGAUCUGGAGCCGAUUCGGGGAAGCCCAGGUAGACCUGUUUGCUUCCCACGAGUCCUCCCACUGCCAGCUGUACUAUUCUCUGUCCCAGGCCCCCCUGGGCACAGAUGCACUGGCACACAGCUGGCCUCGGGCUUUACGCAAGUAUGCGUUUCCCCCAGUGAGCCUGCUCGCACAGACACUGUGCAAGGUCAGGGAGGACGAGGAACAGGUCCUGUUGGUUGCGCCUUACUGGCCCACCCGGACCUGGUUUUCGGAACUCAUGCUCCUCGUGACAGCCCCUCCCUGGCGCAUCCCCCUCAGGAGAGACCUUCUCUCUCAGGGGCUUGGCACCAUUUGGCACCCGCGUCCAGAUCUCUGGAACCUCCACGUGUGGCUUCUAGACGGGACGCGGCAGACCUAAGUGAUCUGCCCCCAGCGGUGGUAGACACUAUCACUCAGGCUAGAGCCCCUUCUACGAGGCAGGCCUAUGCUCUGAAGUGGAGUCUGUUCACAAAUUGGUGUUCUUCUCACCGAGAAGACCCCCGGAGAUGCCCGGUCAGAGUCGUGCUUUCUUUCCUGCAAGGUAGGCUGGAGCGUGGGCUGUCACCCUCCACCCUGAAGGUGUAUGUAGCUGCCAUUGCAGCACAUCACGAUGCAGUGGACGGCCGGUCCCUGGGGAGGCAUGACCUGAUCGUUAGGUUCCUGAGGGGUGCCAGAAGGUUACAUCCUCCUAGGACACCCCUGAUUCCCUCCUGGGACCUCUCUAUUGUCCUGGCGGGACUUCAGAGGGGUCCCUUUGAGCCGCUGGAUUCGGUUGAGCUGAAGUUCCUGUCUCUCAAGACAGCGCUCCUGAUCGCGCUCACUUCCAUCAAGAUGGUCGGGGACCUCCAAGCAUUUUCGGUAAGUGAAGAGUGCCUUGUGUUCGGGCCGGCCUACUCUCACGUUGUCCUGAGACCCCGGCCUGGAUACGUGCCCAAGGUUCCCACCACUCCCUUCCGAGACCAGGUGGUGAACCUGCAAGUGCUGCCCCUGGAGGAGGCAGAUCCAGCCUUGUCGUUGCUGUGUCCCGUAAGAGUGCUUCGCAUAUACGUGGACCGCACCCAGAGCUUCAGAAGCUCUGAGCAGCUCCUGGUCUGCUUUGGAGGUCAGCAGAAGGGGAAGGCUGUCUCUAAGCAGAGGUUGGCCCACUGGAUAGUGGACGCCAUCGCCUUGGCUUACCAUUCCCAAGGCGAGCCGUGCCCCCUGGGGGUGAGGGCCCACUCCAGACAGAGUGUGGCCUCGUCCUAUGCGUUGGUGCACGGCGCCUCUCUGGCAGAUAUUUGUCGAGCUGCGGGCUGGGCGACACCUAACACCUUUGCGAGGUUUUACAACCUCCGUGUAGAGCCAGUUUCCUCCCGUGUGUUGGGUAACAGGUAA
Molecule: long non-coding RNA, 3627 nt
Organism: Carassius auratus (goldfish)
Lineage: Eukaryota; Metazoa; Chordata; Actinopteri; Cypriniformes; Cyprinidae
Source: Ensembl